GAUGAACGCUGGCGGCGUGCCUAAUACACGCAAGUCGAGCGAACAGACGAGGAGCUUGCUCCUCUGACGUUAGCGGCGGACGGGUGAGUAACACGUGGAUAACCUACCUAUAAGACUGGGAUAACUUCGGGAAACCGGAGCUAAUACCGGAUAAUAUAUUGAACCGCAUGGUUCAAUAGUGAAAGACGGUUUUGCUGUCACUUAUAGAUGGAUCCGCGCCGCAUUAGCUAGUUGGUAAGGUAACGGCUUACCAAGGCAACGAUGCGUAGCCGAACUGAGAGGGUGAUCGGCCACACUGGAACUGAGACACGGUCCAGACUCCUACGGGAGGCAGCAGUAGGGAAUCUUCCGCAAUGGGCGAAAGCCUGACGGAGCAACGCCGCGUGAGUGAUGAAGGUCUUCGGAUCGUAAAACUCUGUUAUUAGGGAAGAACAAAUGUGUAAGUAACUAUGCACGUCUUGACGGUACCUAAUCAGAAAGCCACGGCUAACUACGUG
This 497-nucleotide ribosomal RNA is filed under the name uncultured bacterium. RNAcentral's name for it is "partial 16S ribosomal RNA". It matches the Rfam family "Bacterial small subunit ribosomal RNA", at positions 28 to 507 of the family's 1533-position model. The record is from RNAcentral.